Molecule: ribosomal RNA, 253 nt
Filed under: uncultured bacterium
Lineage: Bacteria
Description: partial 16S ribosomal RNA
Rfam family: Bacterial small subunit ribosomal RNA
Source: RNAcentral
UACGUAGGGCGCAAGCGUUAUCCGGAAUUAUUGGGCGUAAAGCGCACGUAGGCGGCUUUGCAAGUCCCAUGUGAAAUCCCACGGCUCAACCGUGGAAGUGCAUGGGAAACUGCAGAGCUUGAGUACUUAAGAGGAUCGCGGAAUUCCCGGUGUAGAGGUGAAAUUCGUAGAUAUCGGGAGGAACACCAGUGGCGAAGGCGGCGAUCUGGGAAGAUACUGACGCUGAGGUGCGAAAGCGUGGGGAGCAAACAGG